This 800-nucleotide ribosomal RNA is filed under the name uncultured bacterium. Its description in RNAcentral is "bacterial SSU rRNA". It matches the Rfam family "Bacterial small subunit ribosomal RNA", at positions 188 to 965 of the family's 1533-position model. The record is from RNAcentral.
GCGGGUUAAAGGAGGAAAGGUGGCCUCUUGGUCAAAGCUACCGUAUAAGGAUGAGCCUGCGUACCAUUAGCUAGUAGGCGGGGUAACGGCCCACCUAGGCGACGAUGGUUAGCGGGUCUGAGAGGAUGAUCCGCCACACUGGAACUGGAACACGGACCAGACUCCUACGGGAGGCAGCAGUGAGGAAUAUUGCGCAAUGGGGGAAACCCUGACGCAGCGACGCCGCGUGAGUGAGGAAGGUUUUCGGAUCGUAAAGCUCUGUCAGAAGGGAAGAAGUGUUAUACGGUUAAUACCCGUAUAAUUUGACGGUACCUUCAGAGGAAGCACCGGCUAACUCCGUGCCAGCAGCCGCGGUAAUACGGAGGGUGCGAGCGUUGUUCGGAAUUACUGGGCGUAAAGGGCGCGUAGGCGGCCUUAUAAGUCAGAUGUGAGAGCCCACGGCUCAACUGUGGAAGUGCAUUUGAAACUGUCUGGCUUGAGUAUCGGAGGGGAGUGUGGAAUUCCCGGUGUAGAGGUGAAAUUCGUAGAGAUCGGGAGGAACACCGGUGGCGAAGGCGACACUCUGGACGAAUACUGACGCUGAGGCGCGAAAGCGUGGGGAGCAAACAGGAUUAGAUACCCUGGUAGUCCACGCCGUAAACGAUGUGAACUAGAGGUAGGAGGUGUUGAUCCCUUCUGUCUCGCAGCUAACGCAUUAAGUUCACCGCCUGGGGAGUACGGUCGCAAGAUUAAAACUCAAAGGAAUUGACGGGGGCCCGCACAAGCGGUGGAGUAUGUGGUUUAAUUCGACGCAACGCGAA